Molecule: ribosomal RNA, 254 nt
Filed under: uncultured bacterium
Lineage: Bacteria
Description: partial 16S ribosomal RNA
Rfam family: Bacterial small subunit ribosomal RNA
Source: RNAcentral
UACGGGGGGGGGCAAGCGUUGUUCGGAAUUACUGGGCGUAAAGGGCUCGUAGGCGGCCAACUAAGUCAGACGUGAAAUCCCCAGGCUCAACCUGGGAACUGCGUCUGAUACUGGAUGGCUUGAAUCCGGGAGAGGGAUGCAGAAUUCCAGGUGUAGCGGUGAAAUGCGUAGAUAUCUGGAGGAACACCGGUGGCGAAGGCGGCAUCCUGGACCGACACUGACGCUGAGGAGCGAAAGCCAGGGGAGCAAACGGG